RNAcentral lists this unclassified non-coding RNA (376 nucleotides) under uncultured Parachlamydiaceae bacterium. Its description in RNAcentral is "contains 16S-23S intergenic spacer region". Lineage: Bacteria; Pseudomonadati; Chlamydiota; Chlamydiia; Parachlamydiales; Parachlamydiaceae. The record is from RNAcentral.
UCCGGUUUGUCACCGGCAGUCUCACAUGAGUCCCCAACUAAAUGCUGGCAACAUGCGACGGGGGUUGCGCUCGUUGCGGGACUUAACCCAACACCUCACGGCACGAGCUGACGACAGCCAUGCAGCACCUGUGCAGCAGCCCUUGCGGGAAACUUCAUCUCUGAAGCUGUCUACUGCAUGUCAAGCCUGGGUAAGGUUCUUCGCGUUGCAUCGAAUUAAACCACAUGCUCCACUGCUUGUGCGGGUCCCCGUCAAUUCUUUUGAGUUUCAGCCUUGCGACUGUACUUCCCAGGCGGUAUACUUAACGCGUUAGCUUCGGCACAACUAGGGUUGAGUCCAGUUACACCAAGUAUACAUAGUUUACGGCAAGGACUAC